AGGACGAACGCUGGCGGCGUGCUUAACACAUGCAAGUCGAACGGUGAAGAGGAGCUUGCUCCUUGGAUCAGUGGCGAACGGGUGAGUAACACGUGAGCAAUCUGCCCUUGACUCUGGGAUAACUGCGGGAAACUGUAGCUAAUACCGGAUAUUACCUUGGAAGGCAUCUUCUGGGGUGGAAAGAAUUUUGGUCAAGGAUGAGCUCGCGGCCUAUCAGCUAGUUGGUGAGGUAAUGGCUCACCAAGGCGACGACGGGUAGCCGGCCUGAGAGGGUGACCGGCCACACUGGGACUGAGACACGGCCCAGACUCCUACGGGAGGCAGCAGUGGGGAAUAUUGCACAAUGGGCGCAAGCCUGAUGCAGCAACGCCGCGUGAGGGACGAAGGCCUUCGGGUUGUAAACCUCUUUUAGUAGGGAAGAAGCGACUGGGUUUUCCUGGAAGUGACGGUACCUGCAGAAAAAGCACCGGCUAACUACGUGCCAGC
RNAcentral lists this ribosomal RNA (486 nucleotides) under Cryobacterium sp. j3. Its description in RNAcentral is "bacterial SSU rRNA". It matches the Rfam family "Bacterial small subunit ribosomal RNA", at positions 26 to 512 of the family's 1533-position model. Lineage: Bacteria; Bacillati; Actinomycetota; Actinomycetes; Micrococcales; Microbacteriaceae. The record is from RNAcentral.